RNAcentral lists this long non-coding RNA (7354 nucleotides) under Lactuca sativa (garden lettuce). RNAcentral describes it as "long non-coding RNA (LSAT_LNC006852)". The record is from RNAcentral. Lineage: Eukaryota; Viridiplantae; Streptophyta; Magnoliopsida; Asterales; Asteraceae.
GCUCACAAGGUUUCAAGGAAUCAAAAUCAACUACAAGGUAUGUAAUUCUAGCCAUCCUUUUAGGAAAAAGUUCCCCGUGUAUUCUAGAUAGGAUUAUGAACCUUGGAAACCAUAUUUAGGGUUGCAUGUACACUUAGGAAGUGUUAGAAUGCUCAAAACCCAUCAUUGGUAUCAGAGACUAUGCUUGUUUGUGAAUACUUGAUGCAAAAUAGUGUUGAAAAAUUGAUUUUUUUGUUGUCUGCUCAGGGGACUCGACGAGUCCAUGGGGAGGACUCGAAGAGUCCAAGUGAAAAUGCAACCAACUCGGCGAGUCAGUUCGUGUACUCGGCGAGUUGGUCCUGCAGAAUGCAGAAAUUCGAUCUGUGCUGCUGGAAAUGGACUAGAAACAUUACCCUAAACUGUUUUGGUGUUAUAAAACUUGUUUUAGAUUGUGUAAUGGUUGUUCUAAUCCAUUUACAAUGGAUAAUAUCAUUUUUUCGUGAUUAUAUGUGUUCAUAUGUUCUUGAAAUGUUGAUAUGAAUAUUCAUGUUCUUAUAAGUUCUUGAUAGAUCAUAUGAGUUACUUGUUUAUCUGAUUAAUUCAUGAUCUUUAUGUGUUUUAAUGGAGUCCAUAACUUCUCCUCAAGUUAUGGAUAACCAAAAGUCUCUUUGUGUUAAAAGACAUUAAAAGAACACAUAAGUUAUAAAAUGAAGAGUCUUCAUUUUAAUGACUCAUAAGUUAUGAAUUUGAAAGGUUUUGUAAAGUUACAAAACUUGCCCUCAAGUUUUGGAACAUGUAAAGUCACUUAAUAAACUUUAGUUCCAACCCUUAGUUUUUUAAAAGUUAAAAAUCAACCCUUAUAUUUUAUAAUAUUAUAAGUUAAUAAUAUAUAUAUAUAUAUAUAUAUGUGUGUGUGUGUGUGUGUGUGUGUAUAAGAUCAAGUCGUCUUACCGCUAGUACGCCUCAUUCACGAAGUCGACCUAUAAGGGGGGUAUAAGGUUGUUGCCUAUAAAAUGGCAACUUAAUGGGUGUCCACUCUCACCCACCGCUUCCUUGAUCGGUGGAGGGUCGUUAGCCGAACGGGUAGGACAAGGACUUAUAAAUUCUCAUUAAAAGUAUGAUGAAUAUUAUAAAGUAACUAAAUGUUUUAUUAAAUUCCCAAUCUUAGUUACUUUAGGAAAAAUGUGAAUAAGGUGCUAAUCCAUGAAAUUACACUUUACACUUUGUUUAAGUCGUUGGUGGAGCGUGUGUGGUUAACCGGCACACUAACUUGGACUUAACAAGGUAGGUAAAGGGUGACUUAAGGUUUAUCAUAGUAUCGAUGGAGCGUGUGUGGUUUACCGGCACAUCGAUUGAGUGAUAAACUUUAAGGGUACCAAGUGAUUUGCAUGGUUACUUCACACCUCGUUUUGUGAUCCUCGGUAUCCCAGUCACAAAACUUGGAGGGCACACUCGAGAUUGAAACAUGCCUUUGAAAAGUUCAUUGAAUCUCAAAAGAAUCUAGGAAUUUCUAAGAACCAAUUAAAAACCUAAUAUUUAUAUUUCGUUUUUCAUGGUGGAAAUUGGUGAAUCGUCAUUCACCUACCUUUCAAAUAUGUUAUAGCUUGGAUUACGGCAUACCUCUUCUAGGUUAUAAUAUAUUGUGAUUGGAUCCUAGCCUUAAUAUUACAUUUGGGUGUUUUAUUAAGGACUCUCUUAAUAUCUAAACUAAUUGUGUUCUCUUCUUUCAGAUGUUUUCAAACAAUGCUACUUCUGGCUCUAAUCCUAAUGACUCAUCUACCCUUAUGAACUUGUGUGGGAAAGUCACUUUUGAUGGAUCCAACUUCAAUGAAUGGAUCAGAAACAUCAGGAUGAUUACCCGCUACGAGGACAAAGAAUAUGUCCUCGAUAAGGAGCUUAAGGAGAUUGAUGAGACCACUGCAACUCCCCAGGAGAUCGCUGACUUCCGGGCACAUGAAAAGGAUGCUACCAAAGUGGCAUGCAUCAUGUUGGCCACCAUGACAGCGGAACUCCAAAAGUCCUAUGAGGACUUCUACCUUUUUGAAAUGCACCAAGAUCUGAUGGAAAGAUACCAUCAAAGUGCACGACAAGAGAGGUAUAAAAUCAUCUGCUCCAUCAUAACAACCAUUAUGAAGGACGAAGAAUCCGUCACGAGCCACAUGCAAAAAAUGCAAAGGUAUGUGGAUCGUUUGUUGAAGAUUAAUGUGAACUUCCCUGAGGAGCUUGCAAUAGAUAUCAUUUUGCACUCCUUACCAUCGUGCUAUGAUCAAUUCCGCAUGACAUAUCACAUGAAUAAGGAAGAGGUCACACUCAGCAAACUUCAGGGACUUCUCAAGACCGCAGAAACAGGUCUUAAGGGGAAGUCGGUUGUUAACACUCCUACUCCAAACUCUGCCCCUGUCUUGGCAAUCGGGAAAGGUAGAGGAAAUAAGAGGAAUAGCUCUUCGAAGGGUACCAAGGCUAGGACCCUUGAUGGCUCUUCUUCAAGUGGAACCAAGAAAGGUUUCUUCACUCUUUCUGACCCAAAAGAUGCUGAACGCUUCUAUUGUCAUGAAAAGUCACAUUGGAAGCGGAACUGACCAAAGUACCAGCAAGAUGUGAAGGAUGGGAAAGUUAAACCCAACCAUGCAAGUAUUUACACUAUCUUAUCUAAUAACUCACCCCAUUCUAACUCUUGGGUCCUUGAUACCGGUUGCGGUAUUCAUAUCUGUUCUGAUUUGCAGGGACUAAGAAGAAGUGAGAAUGUGGAGCAAGGAAGAAUAAACUUAAUCAUGGGGAAUAGGAAAGCUUUACCUGUCACCAAGAUUGGAGUUUAUACUUUAUCGCUAAGUAGUGGGUUUAGUUUAGAUUUGAAUAAAUGUUGUUAUUCGCCAGAAAUGGCAAGAAAUACUAUUUCCUUUCAUGCAUUGUAUAAACAAGGUUUCACAUUUUCAUUUGAUAAUGAAGUUGGUUCAAUUAAUGCUUUCUUUAAUAAGGUUCUUUAUUUUAAGGCAUUACCUUGUGAGGGUGUGUAUGAAAAUAUAUUGGUGGUUGAUAAAUUAGGAAAUAAUGCAUUGUGUAAUGAUUCUGUUAAUGAUAAUAACUUAGAUAAAGCAUCAUUAUGGCAUUGUCGUCUUGGACAUAUAAGCAAGAAACGCAUAGGCCAACUCCAAAAGGAUGGAGUCUUGGAGUCAUUUGACCUAAAGUCAGAUGAUAGUUGCGAAUCAUGCUUACUUGGAAAAAUGACAAAGUCACCCUUCACAGGUUCUUGUGAGAGGGGUGAAGGUUUGUUGGAUCUUGUACACACGGAUGUGUGUGGACCCUUCAAACAUGCCACAAGGGAUGCUAAUCGUUAUUAUUUGACUUUUACUGAUGAUUACAGUAGAUAUGGAUAUGUCUACUUAAUCAAGCAUAAGUCAGAGACUUUCGAAAGGUUUAAGGAAUUUAAACAGGAAGUCGAGAAUCAAUUGGGCAGGAACAUUAAGAUGCUUCGAUCCGAUCGAGGUGGUGAGUAUCUUAGUUCAGAGUUCCUCGACUAUCUUAGGGAAUGUGGGAUUGUCUCACAAUUGACACCUCCCAGGACACCACAGUUGAAUGGUGUGGCUGAGAGGCGUAAUCGAACCUUGUUGGAUAUGGUUCUUUCCAGGAUGAGUCGAGCUUCGCUACCAAUCUCAUUUUGGGGGUAUGCCUUAGAGACUGCCACCCAUAUCCUUAAUCUAGUCCCUACAAAGAAAGUUGUCAAAACUCCUCAUGAGAUGUGUACUGGUAAAGUACCAAAACUAUACCACAUCAAGAUUUGGGGUUACGAGGCUUUCGUGAGACGUGAGACUCAUGAUAAGCUCGAACCUCGAAGUGAGAGGUGUAUUUUCAUCGGCUACCCACAGAAAUCCUUUGGUUACCUCUUAUACAAACCUAGUGAACAUGUGGUCUUUGUAGCAAGGAGGGCUUUCGUUCGAGAGAGAGAGAGUUCAUAAGCCAAGGAAACAGUGGGAGGCAAGUUGAAAUUGAAGAAAUCAAGAGUCAAGUGGUGAAGGAACUUCAAACCCUAGCACUCAACUUGAGGAGGAAACUCCUGUUAAGCCAAUUGACAAGUCUGUACCUCUGAGGCAUUCCACAAGGGUUAGGAAUGCACCUGAGCAUUACUAUGGAUUCCAUAUUACUGCGGAAGGUGAUACACUUAUCAGUGAUGAGACACUGAUAGGUCUGGAUGAACCUAACAGUUAUGCGGAAGCCAUGACAGGCCCUGAGUCAGCCAAGUGGAAAGAGGCAAUGGACAGCGAGAUACAGUCCAUGUAUGACAAUCAAGUUUGGAACUUGGUUGAGAAUGUACCAGGUCGUAAGACUGUAGGGUGCAAAUGGAUCUUCAAGAAGAAGACCGACAUGGAUGGUAAGGUACACACUUAUAAGGCACGACUGGUUGCAAAGGGUUUCUCACAAACUCCGGGAGUUGAUUAUGAUGAGACCUUUUCUCCAGUGGCCAAGAUUAAGUCUAUUAGGGUUCUGUUAGCCAUAGCUGCAUUUCAUGACUAUGAAAUAUGGCAAAUGGAUGUCAAAACCGCUUUCCUUAAUGGAAAGUUGGCUGAGGAUGUUUACAUGAGUCAGCCAGAGGGUUUUGUCAAUACAGAGUACCCUAAUAGAGUGUGUAAGCUUGAGAAAUCCAUUUAUGGAUUAAAGCAAGCACCUCGCAGAUGGAAUCUUUGCUUUGAUGAGAAAGUCAAGGAAUUUGGCUUUUCUAGGAGUGAAGAUGAAUCUUGUGUAUAUGUCAAGGCUAGUGGGAGUAUAGUUAGCUUUUUGGUAUUGUAUGUGGAUGACAUACUACUCAUAGGAAAUGACAUCCCAACUCUGCAGGAAGUUAAGUCCUGGCUUGGGAAGUGUUUCUCUAUGAAGGACCUAGGAGAAGCUGCCUAUAUUCUAGGGAUAAGGAUCUUGAGAGAUCGGAGUAAAAGACUAAUUGGACUUAGUCAGAGUACCUACUUGGAUAAGGUGCUGAAGAGAUUCAGCAUGCAGGACUCCAAGAAAGGAGAGUUACCCAUCCAGAGUAACGCCAGAUUGAGUAAGACACAAAGCCCUAGUACUGAGGCUGAGAUAGCAGAAAUGAGUCGAAUACCUUAUGCUUCGGCUGUAGCAUCAAUCAUGUAUGCUAUGACGUCUACUCGACCAGAUGUAGCCUUUGCUUUAAGCAUGGUUAGCAGGUAUCAAGGGAACCCUGGCAAGGCACACUGGACUACGGUUAAGAAUAUCCUCAAGUACCUACAGAAGACUAAGGACUGGGUCCUUAACCUCGGUGGGAGUGAUGACUUGAGAGUUGUAGGGUAUAGUGAUGCUAGCUUUCAGACUGAUAGGGAUAAUUUCCGCUCUCAGUCAGGUCGGGUCUUUACCUUAAACAGGGGAGCAAUUUCUUGGAAGAGUUCCAAGUAAGAGACAGUGGCUGAUUCCACUUGUGAAUCAGAGUAUAUAGAAGUGAACGAGGCAGCAAAGGAGGCGAUAUGGCUGAAGAACUUCAUUGGAGACCUUGGAGUUGUACCAGCUAUAAAGGAGCCAAUGGAAAUUUUCUGUGAUAGUGAAAGUGCAGUUGCCUUAUCCAAGGAACCAAGAGAUCACAGGAGAUCCAUACACAUCGACAGAAAAUACCAUUUCAUUAGACAUCGAAUAGAAGAAGGACUCCUCGUGGCAAAGAGGGUAUCAUCGGAUGAGAAUCCAGCAUAUCCCCUCACGAAGGGACUGACUCGAGUUAAGCAUCUCCAGCAUGCUCGGAGCAUAGGGCUGAAGGAUGAUAUAAGAUUUAGUAGUUAGAUAAUCUCAAAAUUUGUAAAGUGUAAUUGACAUUAGAUGAUGAAUAAAAGGUGUGUUUAUUUAUGAGUAAUGUGUUGCUAUCUCUUGUCAAUCGUUUACUAUAUUUCUUUUGCAUGUUUUGACUUCCAGCAUAAUGAUGUUUGGUAUAUCAUAUUAUUCGAACCUCCACAGUCGGUCAUAUGUCGGAAGUAGGUAUGAAUCAAGACUGUCAUGAUUGGUUGCAGAGGUCUAAGGUGUUGGACAUGGCUACAACACUCAUGAGUGCUCAUAAGUUCUGAGCAUUGGACUCAACCCACACUCACUGGAAUCACUUCAUGGAAUUUAUCUCGAGUGAUCGUGAGACGGUAACAUCAUAUAAGUCUUCAAACCUAGAGAUAUGAUUUGUUGCCUAUGAGUUGGUUAUGCAUUGAUUGUACGAAAACGCAUUGGUAACUCGAUGUUAUAAAACGUGCUUUUGUGUAUAAUUCAAUAAGUAGUAGAUUAAACAUAUGAGUCGAAGUUUAUAUGUUCCUUCUUGGAUUAAAAGCUGAUAUUUGGGCCCCUCGAUGAUUUUUUUGACCUAUGUACCGGGCCCGGUCAGAACUAAGUUGAUGUGUUCAAUUAAAUUCUUUGUCAAACAAAUCGGAAAUCGGGAAACAAACUGCUGGACAAUAAGUAAGACAUUGUUCCAUGUAUUUGUCCGGCUGAUAUCUAGAACAGAGGAUUAUAUGAUCACUUAUCUUAAAUGGAGUAUCAUCAUCUUCUCAGUUCCGAGAGACCUUGAAAGAGCUACGAUUGCUGAUCGGUUCCUGAAGUCAUGCUUGCAAUUAUAGUUAUUAGACUUAUCCAAGUGGGAGACUGUUGGAUAAGAUGUCUAAGUCCAUAACUAUUUCUGGUAUGUACUGGACCUGACCCGGCAUGGUCCAUUUGGGUUGCAUGGCAUCAUGCAUUUGGAUAGACUAAAUGAGAGUAAAUAACACUUGUGGUUUAUUAUUAUAUUAUAAGUUCUAAUAUAUUAAUAGUAUUAUUUAAUUAGUAUUGAUCAAGAAUUAAUUUGGAAUUAAUUAAGUGAUCAAAAGACAACUAAUUAAAUAUAUGGGUUGAUUAUGUAAAUCAUCUAUAACUUGUAUAGUGGGCUAAGAGGAUCCAUGGAUUAUCAAGUUGGGUUAAACCCAUAGGAUGCUCUAUGGAUGCUCCAUGGGAGUUACAAACCCAUGGGUCAUGGAAAUGAAGAGCCAUGACACGUUAGGGUUUACAUGGUGUAACCUUAGAUGUGUCACACUAUAUAAGAAACAUACUAUCCACCAAAAUCGGCUACACAAAGAGAAGUGAGGGCUAGGCCGAUUUUUAGAGUGUUUGUGUUCUCUCAAAAGUCAUUCCAAAAGAAUUUGGUGUUGUGUGAAGCAUUUGAGGCAUCACACGGUUUCAAGGAAUCAAAAUCAACUACAAGGUAUGUAAUUCUAGCCAUCCUUUUUGGAAAAAGUUCCCCAUGUAUGCUAGAUAGGAUUAUGAACCUUGGAAACCAUAUUUUGCAUGUAUUUAGACAAACAUAGAUCCAAGGUUUAUUAGGGUUGCAUGUACACUUAGGAAGUGUUAGAAUGCUCAAAACCCAUCAAAGUGUUCC